UGCGUGUUGGCUGUGCAACUUCCUUUCUGAGAACAUGCUUUACAAAGAAGAUUUGUUAUUACACAAGGGGGGUGCUUCUCACACAUCCUAGAGCACGGCAAAAAGAAGGAAAGAGGUGGUGUUUGCAAAUCACACAACUACAACAAGAUGCUGGGACUACUUGUCUCCUUUUUGAUCGCUGUUCCCAGGGACAAAUAUUUUAGGAAAUCACUUUCCCAGAGUACCUCUUGAACUUAAACUUGCAAAGUAGUACUUGUAAACUUGAACUGAUGAUUUUGAACUGGUGUGCUUGAACUUCAUCAUUGUGAUGCUGAAGUUGUGAACUUUAACUUUAAUUGGUGUCCUUGAACUUGUUCUUCAUGAUGCGACGGCUGACCAAAACUUGCGAGCAGCCGGACUUGAGGAAACAGCCGUGACCAAAAUAUGUCACAAACAAUACAAUUAUUAACCUAUAAAAGAUAAUUAUAGUUUUAA
Long non-coding RNA from Pecten maximus, 474 nucleotides. RefSeq lists it as uncharacterized. The transcript has 2 exons. The record is from RefSeq and is a predicted model, not a curated record. NCBI's taxonomy places the organism in Eukaryota, Metazoa, Mollusca, Bivalvia, Pectinida, Pectinidae.